Molecule: long non-coding RNA, 1091 nt
Filed under: Strigops habroptila (Kakapo)
Lineage: Eukaryota; Metazoa; Chordata; Aves; Psittaciformes; Psittacidae
Description: lncRNA (ENSSHBG00005008774.1)
Source: RNAcentral
UAUAUAAAUUAUAAACCCAUCCAGUUUAAAGCAGAUCAGUUGCAGUUGUGUCACUUAAGUCCGUAGAAGGCUGAGGCAAACGUAUCUCCUACAGUCAUAAAUUAACAAUGAAUAAUCCAGGAAGAGAAAGGUCAGGUAAGGCUGCAGAUACAACAACAACAACAACAAAAACUCUCUAAGGUUACUAGCAGUUAAAAUAAAGUCACGAUUAUCAAUGAUUGCAAAAUAUAAAUGCAGUUUUUGAACAGUUAAAAAGUACAAAAAUGAUGGGCAACACAAACAGGCAUUGUAGGGUUUGUCCUGUGUGUAGACAAAGCAGAGCAGGAGACUUCUGACCUUUAUCUACAUUAGACGCUGAUUUUAAGCAGUUGAGGAAAUCUGUAAAAGGAUCGUGGCUCAUGAUCCCAGUAGUAUAAAAGCAGUACUUGUCAGUCUGUAAACAGUAGUCUUGGUAGCUUCUUCUAGGUAUGGUUUCAAUUUAUCACCUCGCCCCCAAAAAAAUAAACCCGGAAACAAACAAAAACAAAGUCCCAAGAGUGGAAAAGGGGGAGCAGCAGCAAUGGGUUACAGCUUCAAUUUCUUAUCCUGUCCCUGUGGGACAUAUUCUGGAGGGGAAAUGCUCUUUUGUAAGAAAUAUAUAAUAUAUUUAACUGUACACAAUAUAUAGGGGGAGAGAAAUUCUCCCUCAACCAAGCCCCAGUCGGUCAGUACAUAGUCAUUAUUGUACACCAUUUCCUCCUAUAAAGAAACUACAGCUUGUAAAGAGAUGGCAUCUGGGUUUAUAAAACACCACGUAAUCAAAAACCUGUAUUUGACAAGCUGGUUGUUUGCCAGUAGCUGGAACUGGGAACGGGGCAGCAGCCAACACUGUGAGACAGUGAGUACUGCCCCUGAGCUGGCACGAGGCUGGCUGAACUGUGCCACAGGAAGCAAGAGCCAGCCGUGGAUCCAUCUCCUCUCAGCCUCUGCUUCAGAUGACACACGUGCCCCCUUCCAGCAGUUUCAAUUCUGCUUUUAAGGGAGCUGAUGCAGAAACCCUUUUUUAAAAGCAAGUUCUGCUUUCAGGCACAUGGCAGGGUUUUAAAAGCCUG